GUUAACUUCCAUUAUGUGAGAGCAGAUGAAACCAAAGCCUUGGCCCACACAGCAAACCUUUGGGUAGCAACAUGUUCUAGAAAAAUGGAGCCUGACGAGUCCAGAUUGCUUUUUCUUGAAAUAUCAAGCAAGUCUAAAAUGAUUACUACCCAUGAGACUUUUUUUAAUGCUGUUAGGUUUGGGGGUGUGUUAGAUUGUUUUGCAUUGCUAUAAAUGAGUACCUGAGGCUGAGUCAUCUAUAAAGAAAAGAGGUUUAAUUGGCUCAUAUUUCUGCCUAGCCCUGGCAUAGUUGGCUUCUAGUGAGGCUUCAGGACGCUUUUACUCAUGGUAGAAGGCAAGGGGGAGCAGGCAUGUCACACGGCAAGAGAGGGAGCAAGAGAGAGGGAAGGAGGUGCUAGGUUCCUUUAAAUUGUAAACUAAUAGCAAGAACUCACUCAUUCCCAUGAGGCUGGCACCAGGCCAUUCAUGAGGGAGAGUCCCUCCUGACCCAAAUACCUCCCACUGGGCCCCACCUCCAAUGCUGGGAAUCACAUUUCAACAUAAGAUUCAGAGGGUGAAAACACUCAAAGCCUACCAGGAGGUAAAAUGAUAUGACAAUGUGAGGUCUAUGUUACCUGAAAGGUAGCAGGAGGCAUAGCAGAUGAUGGGAAGAAGAAAAGUGCAGCAACUACCCAGUCCUCACCAUCAAAGAGCCCUCCCCCGUUUACAGAAGAAGACUAAAGAGCUUGGCGGUGGGGAGCAACACAAAAUGGGGAGUAGACUAGGCAGAAGGGACCAGUACAGAGAUAAGAGACCCUGAGCAGAGAGGACAGAUCCAAGGGAGAAAGGCUGGAGGCUGGGGACCCAGCUGGAGGCCAGCACAAUGGCCUGCACGAGAGGUGAGCCCUUCGGAGGAAGAGAUGAGAAAAGGAAACACCUGUGACCCAUCACCAUCAGCCUCGGCUUGCUGCUCCAUUGGCCGCCCUUUCUACUUCUGAUCCGUAUGUGCCUAUUUAGCAGCACAGUCUGUCUCUCAUUCUAGAGUGUGCUUCGGCCCUGUGUUAGUACGUUUUAGAAUGUCAGGGUCCUGUCAUUUCAUCGUCAGCAGAUUCAGUGACCAGAGAGAAGAGGAAACACAGGGAAGCUUUAUAUUAAUAAAAGUCUCGCGUUGAGUAUUCCUAAAGAACAGUCCAAAGUAAGCAGCUUGCCUGCUUCUUUCCUGGUGACAGUAAUGAAUUGGGGCCUACCCCUUCCCAGAGCUCCUGAAAAGCAAUUGGAUCCAGACUCCACUCCAGAACCGGAAUGGACUUUUUGCUCAACACAGCUGCUGCCGGCCAGUCAGCUUCAUGGGACAUGUGCCAAGAGGUCUUCCAUUCCAUCUUUAAUAAACAAAUUAGAGUCCCAACAAAAACUCUUCCAAUGAGCCCUUUUGCUGAGCUAAAUUCAACAUAUGUAGUAAUCUAGGAGGAUGCACCAGAAUAGAAAACUACUUUAAGCCACAGAAGCUAAAGGAGCAAUUGUAAUGUAAGUGUUUUCUACGAAGUAUGUAUGUAGGAUCAGCAAGCAUGGCAAAUGCACACCAGCCGCUGCAGGGAUUCGGGGCUAUGAGUGCAUGCAGGCAGAGCUGAGACUGUGGAUUCUGGAAGAAGAAUCCCCUUGAGAGAGCAUCUAAUUCAAAAUUCAUCCAUAUAUGGCUUAAAAGCCAGCCAGGUUAUCAUAUCAUCUGUAAUGAAUUCACUAGAGCCAAGAGCAUUUAUAUCUUGAAGAUCAGAGUAAGAUUCCCAACAAAACAAAAACUAAGGUUCUCAGCAUGUUGACGGAGGAGGAUUACAUGGAUCAGGCUGUUCUUUGGAGCAGUAGUUGUUUAUAUCCAUCUGCCUUUUCUGCCACCUAAGUGCGUGCCGCCACUCCAUGGAAGAUUCAAUGGACUUGGACACAAGCCCCCUGUGGCCCCAGAACUACCUUUUGGUUGUGAACUAAAGGCCGACAAAGGUGAUUGCUUUAGGGUAGAUAAUGAUGAAAAUAAGCGCCAGUUGCCUUUAAGAAUGGUCAGUUUAGGGGCUGUGUAAAAGAUGAAUUGCACAUUAUUGAAGAAGAGGCCAUGAAUUACGAAGGCUGUCCUAUUGAAGUAACACUGGGAACUUUGAAAAUGUCAGUACAGCCAACGGUUUCCCUUGGGGGCUUUGAAAUAACAUCAGCAUGGGAUUACAGUUGAAGUGUGGAUCAAGACCAGUGCAUAUUAGUGGGUAUGGAGGAAGAGGCAGAGUCAAAAGAUGCGGAGGAGAAUGUGAAACUCUUCAGUAUUUAAUAUAUCUGGAAGGCAGUCCUCCACUGGAGGUAGUAGCAAGUUUCUGCAGAAAAAAGUAAAACUUGCUGCUGAUGAAGACAAUGAUGACAAUUUUGAUGAUGAGGAAAUUGAAGAACAAUCUCCAGUGAAGAAAUCUAUGCAAGAUACUCCAACCAAAAAUGCACCAAAUCAAACCAGAAUGGAAAAGACUCAAAACUAUCAAGACCAAGAUUGAAAGGUCAUAAAUACUUCAAAAAACGGGAAAAAACCUCCUAAAAAUACCAAAGGAUCUAGUUCCAUAGAAGACAUGAAAGCAAAAAUGCAAGCAAGUAUAGAAAAAGCACAUCGAACAGUCCUGGGCAGUACUGCAAAAUUAAGUCCAAAGACGGGGAGAGAGAAAAGAGACAAACAGAGUCCAUGCCGAGUAUCAUCAGCCAUCCAGACUGAAGUCUUGUUUUUAUCUGAAUCCCCUUUCCUGAUGUGCCAGCCAUGCUCCUUCCAGGCUGGAAACAAACUCACCCUUAUGUCCUAAAGCACUUUCUUGUGAUGGCUGUGAUGCUGUGAGCCUUGCCCUUUGCCUUCUGUUACUUGUGUAUUUGCCUCACCUCUCUGACCAUGUUUUAAUCUCCUUUGGAUAUCCUUGGCUGCUCAAUAAAUGUUUGAAUGAAUCAAAAAAGAAAA
This is a non-coding RNA of Callithrix jacchus (white-tufted-ear marmoset), 2947 nucleotides long. NCBI's taxonomy places the organism in Eukaryota, Metazoa, Chordata, Mammalia, Primates, Cebidae. The record is from RefSeq and is a predicted model, not a curated record.